This 1486-nucleotide long non-coding RNA is filed under the name Bemisia tabaci. Its description in RNAcentral is "lncRNA ENSSSA2NGG006384". Lineage: Eukaryota; Metazoa; Arthropoda; Insecta; Hemiptera; Aleyrodidae. The record is from RNAcentral.
UAUGUAAAGCAUAGGCACACAUUGAAUGAAUUAAAAAAAAAAAAAAAAAAUAGAGAAACUCAAUUAUUUAAAGCAAUUUGGCCCUUUCUUAGUUGGCCUAAUCAGGUAGAUAUAGUUGAAGAUUAUACACCUUUUUAUUUACCCCGGUGGCCUAGUGAUGCCUUCGCAGUUUUAUGGUGGAAAAGCCGCUUUAUUUUGGACAGAAGUUUCUUUAAAAAAUGUAGUGAACUGAAGUUGAAUUUCCCGCCAUGGCUCAGACCCGACGCCUUUCGUGAUUGGAAUAUGACCUCAAGAUCUUAUUGGUUCCAAAAUCCUAUAACUGCUCUGAUUGGAGCAUCGGACAUACUCGAGAACAACAACACAACCAUAACCUAACCUGUUCAUGCCAUUGCCAUUCAUUGUUUUUCUCGUUUAUUUCAGGGAUUCAUUAGAUUUUUUAGUCUCACAUUGUAAUUUUUUCUCAUAAUUUGCACUACAUCAUUUUCCCAGUAGGUUUUUCUUAAACGAACUCGGUAUGAAAACUUACACUGUCAAGAACUUUUCUUUGAAACAUGGCUGCUUCUUGUGUGUGAUGUUUGAACCCAUGCCUUUGAUUUGAACCCAAUCAAUAGUGUUUUAGUCAAAUCUCAACCCAGUUUUUCGCUGGUUUUAAAUCUUCAAUGGUGGUGUAAGAGCGAUGAGUGAAGAUUCCACAGUUAUUUCCUACGAGCCUUUAGUUGAACUAUCAUUGAAGUAUGAAAAUGACGUAGACUACAUCUAUUGUCUUUGCAGUCGUGUAUUAGUGAGUGAAAAGAAUCUGACUCGCUCUGUACCAGUCAAAAGAGAAUCUGAAUGGGGAGACUUGAAUGGUGGUCAAAAUUUAAGUGGACUUAAACAGAGCCCAAAUACCAACCAGAUUCACCACAAGAAACGAGACGAAGCUUUCAGCUGCUACUAUAGUGCAUCUCACUAUUCUACCGACGACCAAGAUAGCUCUAGCCAAUUUGCACUUGAAAGUGACAGCGGAGCAGACAUAUCCGUAACAAGCAGGGAUCUUGAGUGGGAACGCUAUUGGGCACAAAAUGGUGACCGCAUUGUUUGGGAAAGUUGGAUAACCAAGUACAAUGAUUACAUCGAUCCAACUUACCUAAUAAUCAUGGGAAUCAGCAUCAGGCUCUUGACAAGGAUGCUGUGAAAAACGAAGAAAGUGAUAAUUUUGAUUCUGUGUCCUCUGACAGUGAUGAAGUGGAAGCUGACAAUCUAUCACCAGUUGAAUCCGCUGAUGUGAAUAAAUUAGAAUUGAAUCAUCCAAAGAAAGACGUAUCAACUGAAGGAGAGAAGAGACCUAAAGAAUUGACUUUUGCAGAACCUCCCAUUCUAUCAGUUGGAGACUUUGAUGGACAAAUUUCGUCAGAACCUUUAGAUCAUUCAAAAGAACAGGACGACUUCUUUGAUGAGCAAUUUAGACUAAGAACUGGAAGCCGCAGUUCUGGGAAUAGUGGUCGAC